RNAcentral lists this ribosomal RNA (497 nucleotides) under uncultured bacterium. RNAcentral describes it as "partial 16S ribosomal RNA". It matches the Rfam family "Bacterial small subunit ribosomal RNA", at positions 28 to 507 of the family's 1533-position model. The record is from RNAcentral.
GAUGAACGCUGGCGGCGUGCCUAAUACAUGCAAGUCGAGCGAACAGACGAGGAGCUUGCUCCUCUGACGUUAGCGGCGGACGGGUGAGUAACACGUGUAUAACCUACCUAUAAGACUGGGAUAACUUCGUGAAACCUGUUCUAAUACCGUCUAAUAUAUUGUACCGCAUGGUUCUAUAGUUAAUGACGGUUUUUCUGCCUCUUAUAGAUUGAUCCGCGCGGCAUUAGCUAGUUGGUAAGGUAACGGCUUACCAAGGCAACGAUGCGUAGCCGACAUGAGAGGGUGAACGGCAAAAAUGGAAGUGAGACACGGUCCAGACUACUACGGGAGGCAGCAGUAGGGAAUAGUCCGCAAUGGGCGAAAGCAUGACGGAGCAAAGCCGCGUGAGUGAUGAAGGUAUGAGGAUCGUAAAACUCUGUUAUUAGGGAAGAACAAAUGUGUAAGUAACUAUGCACGGAUUGACGGUAACUAAUAAGAAAGCAACGGCUAACUACGUG